RNAcentral lists this ribosomal RNA (550 nucleotides) under uncultured bacterium. RNAcentral describes it as "bacterial SSU rRNA". It matches the Rfam family "Bacterial small subunit ribosomal RNA", at positions 28 to 625 of the family's 1533-position model. The record is from RNAcentral.
AACGAACGCUGGCGGCAGGCCUAAAACAUGCAAGUCGAACGCUCUAGCAAUAGAGAGUGGCGCACGGGUGCGUAACAUGUGGGAAUAUGCCUUUUGGUACGGAACAACUUUUGGAAACGAAAGCUAAUACCGCAUGGUCCCUUCGGGGUAAAGAUUUAUCGCCAAAAGAGUAGCCCGCACUGGAUUAGCUAGUUGGUGAGGUAAUGGCUCACCAAGGCGACGAUCCAUAGCUGGUCUGAGAGGACGAUCAGCCACACUGGGACUGAGACACGGCCCAGACUCCUACGGGAGGCAGCAGUUAGGAAUCUUGGACAAUGGGCGCAAGCCUGAUCCAGCCAUGCCGCGUGAGUGAUGAAGGCCUUCGGGUUGUAAAGCUCUUUAGUCCACGAAUAUAAUGACUGUAGUGGAAGAAUAAGCCCCGGCUAACUUCGUGCCAGCAGCCGCGGUAAUACGAAGGGGGCGAGCGUUGUUCGGAAUCACUGGGCGUAAAGAGUGCGUAGGCGGUUAUGAAAGUUAGAAGUGAAAGCCCAGGGCUCAACCUGGAAUUGCU